Molecule: transfer RNA, 73 nt
Filed under: Ovis aries (sheep)
Lineage: Eukaryota; Metazoa; Chordata; Mammalia; Artiodactyla; Bovidae
Rfam family: tRNA
About the family: Transfer RNA (tRNA) molecules are approximately 80 nucleotides in length. Their secondary structure includes four short double-helical elements and three loops (D, anti-codon, and T loops).
Source: Rfam by way of RNAcentral
UCCCUGGUGGUCCAGUGGUUAGGACUCAGCGCUUUCACCCCUGAGGGCUCAGGUUCAAUCCCUGGUUGGGAAA